This 410-nucleotide long non-coding RNA is filed under the name Carica papaya (papaya). RNAcentral's name for it is "long non-coding RNA (CPAP_LNC009827)". The record is from RNAcentral. Lineage: Eukaryota; Viridiplantae; Streptophyta; Magnoliopsida; Brassicales; Caricaceae.
AUGGAGAAGUCAGCCACAAUACCAGCAUUGAUGAAGACUCAUAGUUUAAGUAACAAUUUCAGUCCGUUCUUUAUUUCUUAUCAGUUGCAAAAUCAUAGUUUGAGUUACAAUUCAUGACAUUCGUUUCAAUCCACUGGGUCCCUCAAACCAGUCUUACAAACUUACCAGAUUUCCUAUUUCCUAAAUUACCCUGAUUUCUUAUUGCGUGGGGCUAUUUAGGCUUAAAUAAUGAACUGGAACUCAACAGGGGUCCUCUGACCAAAAUCAGACCAGACUGGAGACUAUUAAACACACACUAGAUCCAAUAAGGGUCUAUUUAUUGACCUGACCUAAUAAGGGCUCAACACCUGAACCGAAUCAGGUGGGGUCCAUCAACCAACCUAGCACAUUUAGACCCAUUAACCUGACCC